RNAcentral lists this ribosomal RNA (497 nucleotides) under uncultured bacterium. RNAcentral's name for it is "partial 16S ribosomal RNA". It matches the Rfam family "Bacterial small subunit ribosomal RNA", at positions 28 to 507 of the family's 1533-position model. The record is from RNAcentral.
GAUGAACGCUGGCGGCGUGCCUAAUACAUGCAAGUCGAGCGAACAGACGAGGAGCUUGCUCCUCUGACGUUAGCGGCGGACGGGUGAGUAACACGUGGAUAACCUACCUAUAAGACUGGGAUAACUUCGGGAAACCGGAGCUAAUACCGGAUAACAUGGUGAACCGCAUGGUUCAACAGUGAAAGACGGUCUUGCUGUCACUUAUAGAUGGAUCCGCGCCGCAUUAGCUAGUUGGUAAGGUAACGGCCUACCAAGGCAACGAUGCGUAGCCGACCUGAGAGGGUGAUCGGCCACACUGGGACUGAGACACGGUCCAGACUCCUACGGGAGGCAGCAGUAGGGAAUCUUCCGCAAUGGGCGCAAGCCUGACGGAGCAACGCCGCGUGAGUGAGGAAGGUCUUCGGAUCGUAAAGCUCUGUUAUUAGGGAAGAACAGAUAUGGAAGUAACUAUGCACGUCUUGACGGUACCUAAGCAGAAAGCCACGGCUAACUACGUG